CCCCCUGUGUGAUCAGUUGGUAGAGCAUGGUGUUUGCAACGCCAUGCAUGUUGUGGGUUCGAUUCCCACGGGGGA
This is a non-coding RNA of Salmo salar (Atlantic salmon), 75 nucleotides long. The record is from Rfam. Lineage: Eukaryota; Metazoa; Chordata; Actinopteri; Salmoniformes; Salmonidae.